Molecule: long non-coding RNA, 693 nt
Filed under: Callithrix jacchus (white-tufted-ear marmoset)
Lineage: Eukaryota; Metazoa; Chordata; Mammalia; Primates; Cebidae
Description: lncRNA (ENSCJAG00000073050.1)
Source: RNAcentral
AUGAGGCACAGUCUGGAAAGGAGACACUGUGGGGAGUUAGUCUGCUCUCUUCAAGGAUUGUCUGUCUUGCAUUCCUCAAGGAGUUUCCAGACUUGGAAGAGAGAAACACAGGGGCCAAAAGCCUCAAUCCUAGAAAUGACAGUGAUGACAGAGAAGGAUCAGAGGAGGGAAGCCAGUGAGCAUCCUCUGGGUUAAGGUUCUUCAUGUCAACCUUUGGCAAGCUGACAUAAAGUCAUAGAAUCAGGCUGCACACCUGGGAGAAUGAACGACGGAAAAGUUGGAUGGAAGGAAAAGGUAAUGUUUGCAAUGCACUAAAUGUCUCAUGCUCACUAUUCUAUCUAAUUCUCAUACCCACCGGUCACAUAAGCACUGUUGUCUUCAUUUAAAGAUUAGGUCACUGAAAUUCGGAGAGGGUAGGCGACUUGCUAAGGUAAACAGAAACUGCAUGGUCAAGCCAUAGUGGGAGUCCAAUUCUGAGGUCUCCAAAGUCCUUCAGUUACUUACAGCACAAAUCAUGUCUCAUGAUAACAGUUAUAACACGUAAAUUAAAGCCUGAUGAAUGAAGAGUGUAUAUUUCACCUGGGUGGCAUUAAGAUCUAAGUGAGGUUUGUUUUUGUUUUCCUGCUAUUUUGUCCUCAGGCAACACUGUAAAAUAAUCUUUUAAAAUUCCAGGUCCUCAGGAGGUCAUUUUAG